This is an RNA transcript of Myzus persicae (green peach aphid), 925 nucleotides long. RefSeq lists it as uncharacterized. The record is from RefSeq and is a predicted model, not a curated record. The transcript is spliced from 4 exons. Lineage: Eukaryota; Metazoa; Arthropoda; Insecta; Hemiptera; Aphididae.
AUCGCUUUGGAACCAGUUUAGUGGGUACACGACGAGUGUGUAGUACAUUUGAGAUCGCGUGUUAGUUUUCAUGUAGACGUAGCAGUGGUCGAAGCGCGUGACGCUCGUAGGCUACGACUAUUACACUACAUGGUAUUGUAUUGCAGCAAUUUUCGCGGUUCAUUAUCUUUGUGUUUUUGUACCAUUUGUAUUUAUUUGUUUCGUCGGUUUUAAAAACAAUUUAAUCAAUGGUUAUGAAACUUAUAGUGGUGAAUUUUUUAAUUUGGUUUACAUUUAGUUGCCAUGGACAGACAAAAUCAAGAGAAACUCAUUUUCCGGGCUAUCAUUUCUGUGGACCGGGUACGGACUUUUUGGAACGCAUUGCUCGAGGUCAGCUUGGCAUCAAUAAGCUAGACGAAGCGUGCCGGUCACAUGAUUCAGUUUACACGGACAGUACGGAUUUUCAAUUGAGAAUGGAAGCCGACAUGAAAUUGGAGACGGCCGCGUGGGAGAGAGUGAUAGCGAAGGAUAGCACUUACAAGGAGAAAAUCGCUGCAUGGAUGGUGACAAACAUCAUGAAAGUGAAACGAAAGUGGAAUACUCGACGUCUGCAACGGGAAUUUGGCAAAAAACCUAGUGAAUUGUCUGCGACGAACAAAAAACCUCGACGUUCAAAUCGUUCAAUUGACGACCACCAUAAAAGUUGGUUCCGGUACCGAUUAUAAUGAAAAUUAAACAGAGAUUGAAAGAAAAUAAUUUUCGCUUGGACAUAUUAUAAUACCAACAAAGAAUUGUUCCCAAGUGCAAAUCGGCAAUCUGUAAUAUCGUUGAACCUUGAAAUUCAAUAGGCAAUGGAAUGAUGUUUAGCAACUACACGCUGUGAUAUUAUGUUUAAUUAAAUACAUUUUUUUUUUUGUACUGUUGUUGUGAGAUCUAAAGCGAAAUG